This 465-nucleotide ribosomal RNA is filed under the name uncultured bacterium. RNAcentral describes it as "bacterial SSU rRNA". It matches the Rfam family "Bacterial small subunit ribosomal RNA", at positions 337 to 794 of the family's 1533-position model. The record is from RNAcentral.
ACCUACGGGGGGCAGCAGUGGGGAAUAUUGGACAAUGGGCGCAAGCCUGAUCCAGCCAUGCCGCGUGUGUGAAGAAGGCCUUCGGGUUGUAAAGCACUUUAAGCGGGGAGGAAGGUUCGCCACCUAAUACGUGGCGGAAUUGACGUUACCCGCAGAAUAAGCACCGGCUAACUCUGUGCCAGCAGCCGCGGUAAUACAGAGGGUGCAAGCGUUAAUCGGAAUUACUGGGCGUAAAGCGCGCGUAGGCGGUUGUGUAAGUUGGAUGUGAAAGCCCCGGGCUUAACCUGGGAACUGCAUUCAAAACUGCACGGCUAGAGUACGGGAGAGGGGGGUAGAAUUCCAGGUGUAGCGGUGAAAUGCGUAGAGAUCUGGAGGAAUACCGAUGGCGAAGGCAGCCCCCUGGCCUGAUACUGACGCUGAGGUGCGAAAGCAUGGGGAGCAAACAGGAUUAGAUACCCCGGUAGC